RNAcentral lists this transfer RNA (85 nucleotides) under Felis catus (domestic cat). It matches the Rfam family "tRNA". Rfam says of the family: Transfer RNA (tRNA) molecules are approximately 80 nucleotides in length. Their secondary structure includes four short double-helical elements and three loops (D, anti-codon, and T loops). The record is from Rfam by way of RNAcentral. Lineage: Eukaryota; Metazoa; Chordata; Mammalia; Carnivora; Felidae.
GCCUGGGUGGCUCAGUUGGUUGAGCGUCUGACUUUGGCUCAGGUCAUGAUGUUGCGGUCUGUGAGUUCGAGCCCCGCGCCAGGCU